Monodelphis domestica (gray short-tailed opossum) is the source of this 68-nucleotide microRNA precursor. Ensembl annotates it as mdo-mir-7331-1. NCBI's taxonomy places the organism in Eukaryota, Metazoa, Chordata, Mammalia, Didelphimorphia, Didelphidae. The record is from Ensembl.
AACCUGACCUCUGAAGCUACAUAGCAGUGAUCAAAUCUACCGUCUCCUAUGGCUCUAUGGUCAGUUCU